UACGUAGGCAGCAAGCGUUGUUCGGAAUUACUGGGCGUAAAGGGUUCGUAGGGGGUCAACUAAGUCAGAGGUGAAAUCCCUCAGCUUAACUGGGGAACUGCGUCUGAGACUGGAUGGCUUGAGUGCAGGAGAGGAACGCGGAAUUCCAGGUGUAGCGGUGAAAUGCGUAGAUAUCCGGAGGAACACCGGUGGCGAAGGCGGCGUUCUGGACUGCUACUGACACUGAGGAACGAAAGCCAGGGGAGCAAACGGG
RNAcentral lists this ribosomal RNA (253 nucleotides) under uncultured bacterium. Its description in RNAcentral is "partial 16S ribosomal RNA". It matches the Rfam family "Bacterial small subunit ribosomal RNA", at positions 524 to 776 of the family's 1533-position model. The record is from RNAcentral.